UUUUUUUUUUUUUUUUUUUAAUUAAGUUAUUUGUUUAAAAAUUAACAAAUUAAUUAGACUAUUUAUUUUACAAUUUCUUUAUUUUUACUACUCGUCUAUUUUUCAUAACACUUUUUAACACCACUGUUCAUAUUUGUACCAACAUACACAUAUUAAUACAUAUUGUAUUUUUGUUAUAUAUAUUGUAUUGUGUUGUAUAUGUUGUAUGUAUUGUAUUGUUUUUUUUUUUUUUUUUUUUGUACUUGGAACUUGUAACUAAAUAUUCAUAUAUAUAUAUAUAUGUAUAUACAUACAUUACAUGUGCAAAGCUUAAAAUUAUCAAAUUAAAUAAGAUUCUAAAAACAUGUCAAAAAAAAAAUGUUAUUAUUAUAUAUAAUUUUUGUCGUCUUACCAUUUCUCAUAUUUUCUUAUUUCGUAUAUAAAAAUGUUUGUACUAUUAUUAACGAAAAAAAUAAAAGAAACGAGUUUUUCAGUAACUUAGCAUUUGAAAACAAGCAGUAUACUGCUUUUGAAAACUUUGUCAAAAAAUAUGAAAUUGAAAAAUAUAAAUAUUAUUUAAAAGUUGUUAGAAAUAUUGAAGUAAAUUAUAAUAUGGAAAUACUUGAAAAGUUAAUUACAGAAAAUAAUGAAUUAGAAAAAAAAAAACGAGGAAUAUAUACAAAAUUUAUUAAAUAAUAUUGAUAAAGAUGAUAAAUAUGUACAGGAUAAUGAAAUAAAAAACCCUCAAAAUAGUUGGAUGAGAAAAUUAGCUAAUGAAGACAUAGUAAAGUUAAAAGUUUCCCUUUUAAAGAAAGCAAUUUGUUUUAUUCCAAUUUGUAAUAAAUUAUUUCAGGACAAAAAUAAAAGACAUUUGUUAUAUAAUAACUAUUAUAUUGAUGAUAAAAUGUCUAAAGAGCUAGAUGGCCAAUGUGCUGAGUUUUUAGAAGAAUUCGAUUUUAUUAUAUAUGAAGCCAAUUGUCUAUCACCUAACUGGGGCGAAACAAUUAUAGUAGACGCGUACAAAAUUUAUCAUCAUAACAAAUUAAAAAAAAAAAAAAAAAUAAAAAAAAAAAAAAA
RNAcentral lists this long non-coding RNA (1056 nucleotides) under Piliocolobus tephrosceles (Ugandan red Colobus). RNAcentral describes it as "lncRNA (ENSPTEG00000002833.1)". The record is from RNAcentral. Lineage: Eukaryota; Metazoa; Chordata; Mammalia; Primates; Cercopithecidae.